This 224-nucleotide ribosomal RNA is filed under the name Pseudomonas sp. RV120224-01b. Lineage: Bacteria; Pseudomonadati; Pseudomonadota; Gammaproteobacteria; Pseudomonadales; Pseudomonadaceae. The record is from RNAcentral.
AGCCGAAUUGUGGUGGUGAAGACGAAAGACCCGAAAAUUCGUAAGACCACAAAUUCACAUAUCCGAAUUCGCUAGAGCAUCCAUCUGGAUCUUCUGGCAACAGAAUUUCUUGACGACCAUAGAGCAUUGGAACCACCUGAUCCCAUCCCGAACUCAGCAGUGAAACGAUGCAUCGCCGAUGGUAGUGUGGGGUUUCCCCAUGUGAGAGUAGGUCAUCGUCAAGA